UGGGGAAUAUUGCACAAUGGGGGAAACCCUGAUGCAGCGACGCCGCGUGGAGGAAGAAGGUCUUCGGAUUGUAAACUCCUGUUGUUGAGGAAGAUAAUGACGGUACUCAACAAGGAAGUGACGGCUAACUACGUGCCAGCAGCCGCGGUAAAACGUAGGUCACAAGCGUUGUCCGGAAUUACUGGGUGUAAAGGGAGCGCAGGCGGGAGAACAAGUUGGAAGUGAAAUCCAUGGGCUCAACCCAUGAACUGCUUUCAAAACUGUUUUUCUUGAGUAGUGCAGAGGUAGGCGGAAUUCCCGGUGUAGCGGUGGAAUGCGUAGAUAUCGGGAGGAACACCAGUGGCGAAGGCGGCCUACUGGGCACCAACUGACGCUGAGGCUCGAAAGUGUGGGUAGCAAACAGGAUUAGAUACCCUGGUAGUCCACACCGUAAACGAUGAUUACUAGGUGUUGGAGGAUUGACCCCUUCAGUGCCGCAGUUAACACAAUAAGUAAUCCACCUGGGGAGUACGACCGCAAGGUUGAAACUCAAAGGAAUUGACGGGGGCCCGCACAAGCAGUGGAGUAUGUGGUUUAAUUCGACGCAACGCGAAGAACCUUACCAAGUCUUGACAUCCCUUGACGAUGCUGGAAACAGCAUUUCUCUUCGGAGCAAGGAGACAGGUGGUGCAUGGUUGUCGUCAGCUCGUGUCGUGAGAUGUUGGGUUAAGUCCCGCAACGAGCGCAACCCUUAUGGUCAGUUACUACGAAAGAGGACUCUGGCCAGACUGCCGUUGACAAAACGGAGGAAGGUGGGGAUGACGUCAAAUCAUCAUGCCCUUUAUGACUUGGGCUACACACGUACUACAAUGGCGUUAAACAAAGAGAAGCAAGACCGCGAGGUGGAGCAAAACUCAGAAACAACGUCCCAGUUCGGACUGCAGGCUGCAACUCGCCUGCACGAAGUCGGAAUUGCUAGUAAUCGUGGAUCAGCAUGCCACGGUGAAUACGUUCCC
Molecule: ribosomal RNA, 995 nt
Filed under: uncultured bacterium
Lineage: Bacteria
Description: bacterial SSU rRNA
Rfam family: Bacterial small subunit ribosomal RNA
Source: RNAcentral